Molecule: unclassified non-coding RNA, 177 nt
Organism: Chelonoidis abingdonii (Abingdon island giant tortoise)
Lineage: Eukaryota; Metazoa; Chordata; Testudines; Testudinidae
Source: Ensembl
UUGACAAUCCUGAAAACUGAUGUCUUCUCUUAUCCAUAGAAUGGGUACAGCAUGGGCAGCAGCAGUGCAAUCUUUCAAUGGACUCCCAACUAGUGUACCAUAACUCUCAUCUGGAAGAAAACAUAUAGGGGCAGUGGAUAGCUCCGUCUCCAUGCCCUUUGUGAAUCACACUCUUAA